CUGUCAGCACAGAGCCUGACGUGGGGCUUGAACUCACGAACUGAGAGAUCAUGACCUGAGCUGAAGUCGGACGCUUAACCGGCUGAGCCACCCAGGAACCCCCAUGAGCUUUUUUUUAACAGAUGCUUUUUACUUGUAUGGAAUUUUUAGAGAUUUACAAAAAUACUGGAUGGGAACAAAUCCCUCUGUUUUUGCAGGUUUGCUUAUUUUAUGAUUUGCUGAGAGCUAUUCUAAAAAAUCAACUUGUGCUUGCUCUGCCCUUUCAUAGACACUACAGAAGAGUAGUAGGUAUGAAGUAAAUGAGAAGAAGAUUCUCUACACUGUACCUAGACAAUUUAGCCUGAGAGAUACACGUGACAGAAUCCUGAACUGUGUUCCUGAGGGAAAAAAUGUGAAGCUGUGUUUGUGUUCCAGUAUUUCAAGUGCUUAAACUUUCUUUGUGUUGCCAUGAGUAAUGCUUUUAAGGUAAUUCAGUCACAGUCACAAUGCAAGGAGGGAGAAAAUGUUGGAAGAAAACUGAUUUCUCCCUUUUUGUGCCUUCAGAGAUUCUCACGGAUAGUAAGGGAAUAAGGGUUAGAGUUGGGGCACAACUGAAACAAAGGGAUGGCAAGAGUAGCUUUGGUAGCAAAGUCAGUGUCCUGUUACAAUCUGUGUCUGUACCUGUGACAGGGGUUCUUAUUUACUGUAAAUAAUCACGAGAGUCAUAAGAUAUUCAAGAGGACUGAAUACUUACAAGGAAGACUGAAUCAAGAUGACUAUUAUCUGGAUCAAGCUUUCUGUAAAGAACCAUACGGGCUCUACAACUACUCCUCUUUGCCACAAGAAUACGAAAGUAAACAUAGACAAUAUUUGAAUAAAUGAACGUAGCUGUGUUGUAUAGAA
Felis catus (domestic cat) is the source of this 882-nucleotide long non-coding RNA. RefSeq lists it as uncharacterized. Lineage: Eukaryota; Metazoa; Chordata; Mammalia; Carnivora; Felidae. The record is from RefSeq and is a predicted model, not a curated record. The transcript is spliced from 2 exons.